GGAGGCGUGGCUGAGCGGUUUAAGGCAGCAGUCUUGAAAACUGUCGUAGGGGUGACUCUACCGUGAGUUCGAAUCUCACCGCCUCCG
Molecule: transfer RNA, 87 nt
Filed under: Nitrosomonas ureae
Lineage: Bacteria; Pseudomonadati; Pseudomonadota; Betaproteobacteria; Nitrosomonadales; Nitrosomonadaceae
Description: tRNA_Ser_TGA
Rfam family: tRNA
About the family: Transfer RNA (tRNA) molecules are approximately 80 nucleotides in length. Their secondary structure includes four short double-helical elements and three loops (D, anti-codon, and T loops). Further hydrogen bonds mediate the characteristic L-shaped molecular structure. tRNAs have two regions of fundamental functional importance: the anti-codon, which is responsible for specific mRNA codon recognition, and the 3' end, to which the tRNAs corresponding amino acid is attached (by aminoacyl-tRNA synthetases). tRNAs cope with the degeneracy of the genetic code in two manners: having more than one tRNA (with a specific anti-codon) for a particular amino acid; and 'wobble' base-pairing, i.e. permitting non-standard base-pairing at the 3rd anti-codon position.
Source: RNAcentral